UUUAUUGGAGAGUUUGAUCCUGGCUCAGGAUGAACGCUGGCGGCGUGCCUAAUACAUGCAAGUCGAGCGAAUGGAUUAAGAGCUUGCUCUUAUGAAGUUAGCGGCGGACGGGUGAGUAACACGUGGGUAACCUGCCCAUAAGACUGGGAUAACUCCGGGAAACCGGGGCUAAUACCGGAUAACAUUUUGAACUGCAUGGUUCGAAAUUGAAAGGCGGCUUCGGCUGUCACUUAUGGAUGGACCCGCGUCGCAUUAGCUAGUUGGUGAGGUAACGGCUCACCAAGGCAACGAUGCGUAGCCGACCUGAGAGGGUGAUCGGCCACACUGGGACUGAGACACGGCCCAGACUCCUACGGGAGGCAGCAGUAGGGAAUCUUCCGCAAUGGACGAAAGUCUGACGGAGCAACGCCGCGUGAGUGAUGAAGGCUUUCGGGUCGUAAAACUCUGUUGUUAGGGAAGAACAAGUGCUAGUUGAAUAAGCUGGCACCUUGAC
This 493-nucleotide ribosomal RNA is filed under the name Bacillus wiedmannii. RNAcentral's name for it is "bacterial SSU rRNA". It matches the Rfam family "Bacterial small subunit ribosomal RNA", at positions 1 to 473 of the family's 1533-position model. The record is from RNAcentral. Lineage: Bacteria; Bacillati; Bacillota; Bacilli; Caryophanales; Bacillaceae.